Molecule: ribosomal RNA, 579 nt
Filed under: Lactobacillus jensenii
Lineage: Bacteria; Bacillati; Bacillota; Bacilli; Lactobacillales; Lactobacillaceae
Description: bacterial SSU rRNA
Rfam family: Bacterial small subunit ribosomal RNA
Source: RNAcentral
GUCGAGCGAGCUUGCCUAUUGAAAUUCUUCGGAAUGGACAUAGAUACAAGCUAGCGGCGGAUGGGUGAGUAACGCGUGGGUAACCUGCCCUUAAGUCUGGGAUACCAUUUGGAAACAGAUGCUAAUACCGGAUAAAAGCUACUUUCGCAUGAAAGAAGUUUAAAAGGCGGCGUAAGCUGUCGCUAAAGGAUGGACCUGCGAUGCAUUAGCUAGUUGGUAAGGUAACGGCUUACCAAGGCGAUGAUGCAUAGCCGAGUUGAGAGACUGAUCGGCCACAUUGGGACUGAGACACGGCCCAAACUCCUACGGGAGGCAGCAGUAGGGAAUCUUCCACAAUGGACGCAAGUCUGAUGGAGCAACGCCGCGUGAGUGAAGAAGGUUUUCGGAUCGUAAAGCUCUGUUGUUGGUGAAGAAGGAUAGAGGUAGUAACUGGCCUUUAUUUGACGGUAAUCAACCAGAAAGUCACGGCUAACUACGUGCCAGCAGCCGCGGUAAUACGUAGGUGGCAAGCGUUGUCCGGAUUUAUUGGGCGUAAAGCGAGCGCAGGCGGAUUGAUAAGUCUGAUGUGAAAGCCUUCGG